GGAGCGGAUCGGAUGGUCGCGGGAUCUUUAAAGGAUCCCGAGGAAAGUCCGGACUCCGUGGACGGGAUGCCGGGUAACACCCGGGAGGAGUGAUCCUCGGAUAGGGCCAUAGAAACGGAAACCGCCCUUUUUCGAGGGCAAGGGUGGAAAGGUGAGGUAAGAGCUCACCAGCAUUGGGGUAACCCAAUGGCUUGGUAACCCCCAUCUGGAGCAAGGCCAAACAGAAGGGGCAAUCAGGGUGUUCCACCGAGUGUUCCCCUUCGGGUGGGCCGCAUGAGGGAUGCGGUAACGUAUCCCCAAGAUGGAUGACCAUCGAUGACAGAAUCCGGCUUAUAGAUCCGCUCCCUUU
This 349-nucleotide RNase P RNA is filed under the name Thermotogota bacterium. RNAcentral's name for it is "Thermotogae bacterium RNase P RNA component class A". It matches the Rfam family "Bacterial RNase P class A". Rfam says of the family: Ribonuclease P (RNase P) is a ubiquitous endoribonuclease, found in archaea, bacteria and eukarya as well as chloroplasts and mitochondria. Its best characterised activity is the generation of mature 5'-ends of tRNAs by cleaving the 5'-leader elements of precursor-tRNAs. The record is from RNAcentral. RNAcentral also lists the same sequence under 1 other name. Lineage: Bacteria; Thermotogati; Thermotogota.